CUUAACACAUUAUUCUUCAGAUUUUUUUCUUAUAUUUCAUAUAAAAAAAUUCACUUGAAUGUUAAUAACUCAUUUUUUAACAUUUUAGUUAUUCGAAUAAGAAAAUAAGAGAGAAGAACUAAAGGUGAAAAAUGGAUUUCCUCAAACCAAACCAUUUUCGAAUAAGAUAAAAAACAAAAGAGAACAAAUGUGGAUUUUCCUCAAAAACUGAAAAUUGUUGAAUUUUUUGAAGUUCUGGUAUUCCUUAUCCCUCGGAAGGAAUGAAAACCCCUGAAGCUUCCAUCAGUUCCAAAGCUCUGGCGGUCUGAAAUUUUCCAAUAUCUCUCCUAACUUUAGUGUAGAGAGGAUCUUCAUCUACUUUAGCCAUAGCGACGAUAAGAGCACGAGGCUCCAUAUUUAAAGAAGAAGAAAACCGAGGGAUAACGAAAAAAGGUAUGUGGUAUUCUAUUACAAAACAUUUAUAAGAUAACAAAAGUAAGAAUUAAAAACACUAAUUUCUC
Molecule: long non-coding RNA, 500 nt
Organism: Diorhabda sublineata
Lineage: Eukaryota; Metazoa; Arthropoda; Insecta; Coleoptera; Chrysomelidae
Exons: 3
Source: RefSeq, a predicted model, not a curated record